RNAcentral lists this ribosomal RNA (934 nucleotides) under bacterium W13S6. RNAcentral's name for it is "bacterial SSU rRNA". It matches the Rfam family "Bacterial small subunit ribosomal RNA", at positions 56 to 981 of the family's 1533-position model. RNAcentral also lists the same sequence under 1 other name. The record is from RNAcentral.
UGCAGUCGAGCGGAACGAGAAGGUGCUUGCACCUUCGGCGUCGAGCGGCGGACGGGUGAGUAAUGCAUAGGAAGUUGCCCAGUAGAGGGGGAUACCAGUUGGAAACGACUGUUAAUACCGCAUAAUCUCUUUGGAGCAAAGCGGGGGACCUUCGGGCCUCGCGCUACUGGAUACGCCUAUGUGGGAUUAGCUAGUUGGUGAGGUAAUGGCUCACCAAGGCGACGAUCCCUAGCUGGUCUGAGAGGAUGAUCAGCCACACUGGGACUGAGACACGGCCCAGACUCCUACGGGAGGCAGCAGUGGGGAAUAUUGCACAAUGGGCGAAAGCCUGAUGCAGCCAUGCCGCGUGUAUGAAGAAGGCCUUCGGGUUGUAAAGUACUUUCAGUUGUGAGGAAGGGUGUGUAGUUAAUAACUGCAUAUUUUGACGUUAGCAACAGAAGAAGCACCGGCUAACUCCGUGCCAGCAGCCGCGGUAAUACGGAGGGUGCGAGCGUUAAUCGGAAUUACUGGGCGUAAAGCGCAUGCAGGUGGUUUGUUAAGUCAGAUGUGAAAGCCCGGGGCUCAACCUCGGAAGGUCAUUUGAAACUGGCAAACUAGAGUACUGUAGAGGGGGGUAGAAUUUCAGGUGUAGCGGUGAAAUGCGUAGAGAUCUGAAGGAAUACCAGUGGCGAAGGCGGCCCCCUGGACAGAUACUGACACUCAGAUGCGAAAGCGUGGGGAGCAAACAGGAUUAGAUACCCUGGUAGUCCACGCCGUAAACGAUGUCUACUUGGAGGUUGUGGCCUUGAGCCGUGGCUUUCGGAGCUAACGCGUUAAGUAGACCGCCUGGGGAGUACGGUCGCAAGAUUAAAACUCAAAUGAAUUGACGGGGGCCCGCACAAGCGGUGGAGCAUGUGGUUUAAUUCGAUGCAACGCGAAGAACCUUACCUACUCU